Molecule: long non-coding RNA, 1153 nt
Organism: Stylophora pistillata
Lineage: Eukaryota; Metazoa; Cnidaria; Anthozoa; Scleractinia; Pocilloporidae
Source: RefSeq, a predicted model, not a curated record
ACUCGUUUUUGAUAGGCUAUCUUUCCUGUUUCACCCGCUCGCCCACCACUGUAAAUGUAGUUGCCUUGCUUGGCUUCCUUGUGUUUGAUUUCCAUGAUGCUGUCAUCGAAAUUGUGCAAGGUCAAAGGGAGUCCACUUAAGGCAGCAUCUUUAAGAGCCUUUUCGACAUAAAACCCAGUGUAAGCUACAAGUUCUUUCACAGUGGCAGUAACAGUUUGAGAGCCAAAAAUUAGGAUAAAUUGAAAUCCUAGCAAAACUCUUGCUUGGCAUUCAUACUCCUGUCUAGUUAAUUCUUUUGGAGUGUUUAAAAUCCAUUGGAAAAUUUUUUUGAGGCCAGUGCAAAAACCUACCAAUAUUUCGCUGACCAAAGGGCUAAAACCAGAGUUGUUCAAAAGUUCCUCUGCUUUUUCAUAGAAGGCCAAAACACCAUUUUCAUCAAAUGUGACAUAACAGCUUAGACAAACUUUUCGAGCAACUUUCUGUACUUCUAUAAACCAUUGUUUUUUAUUUUGUUUGAGAGCCUCAGCUACUUGGCCAAUUCUUCGUACUAUAGUUUCUGUAGCUCUUGUCGCUUGGUGCAUCAUUGCUGGGUAGAAAUUUACCAGGUAAAGUUGAGAAGCAUUAGGAUGUCCAGUUUGACCAAGCUCAUUACAGAUUACUCUCAUAUCCCCAAGUUGCUUUUGGUGUUCUGGUGACUCUGGAAUCGGAUAGCAGGAGCUGGCAGAAGAACUUCCGGUAAUUGAUCUUCGUUGACAGCCAUCUGCAACACCACGCACAAUGACUUCUAUGUUCUUCUUCAGAAUUGGGUGAUAAACUGACUUCAAACUGGACAGCUGUUGAAGGGUUUCUCGUCCAAGAUUACUUACAUGGUUGUAGUUAUCUGGGCCUAACCAAGAACACACUGUAACAAUGCAGCUUAACAGGUUGUGGGGCUCCACCAAUUUGACUCUUAUUGCUGUUUCUCCAGUAAAGAACUUACUCCACUGCAUCCAUGGGAACGCAUCGAUGUAGUGAUAAACAAGUAAUUUCUCUUUAGGGAACAUUAUUGUUUCCCAUAGAGUUUUUUUGCUAAGUAGCCAUUCCAUAGUGUUUUUGACAUUUGUGUAUGCUGCAACAACACCAUUGUGUUCAGUAAAAGUCAGUGACAAACUUU